RNAcentral lists this ribosomal RNA (616 nucleotides) under uncultured Gammaproteobacteria bacterium. RNAcentral describes it as "bacterial SSU rRNA". It matches the Rfam family "Bacterial small subunit ribosomal RNA", at positions 268 to 887 of the family's 1533-position model. The record is from RNAcentral. Lineage: Bacteria; Pseudomonadati; Pseudomonadota; Gammaproteobacteria.
GUUGUAAAACGACGGCCAGUGAAUUCGAGCUCGGUACCUCGCGAAUGCAUCUAGAUCCUACGGGAGGCAGCAGUGGGGAAUAUUGGACAAUGGGGGGAACCCUGAUCCAGCCAUGCCGCGUGUGUGAAGAAGGCCUUAUGGUUGUAAAGCACUUUAAGCGAGGAGGAGGCUACUGAGACUAAUACUCUUGGAUAGUGGACGUUACUCGCAGAAUAAGCACCGGCUAACUCUGUGCCAGCAGCCGCGGUAAUACAGAGGGUGCGAGCGUUAAUCGGAUUUACUGGGCGUAAAGCGUGCGUAGGCGGCUUUUUAAGUCGGAUGUGAAAUCCCCGAGCUUAACUUGGGAAUUGCAUUCGAUACUGGGAAGCUAGAGUAUGGGAGAGGAUGGUAGAAUUCCAGGUGUAGCGGUGAAAUGCGUAGAGAUCUGGAGGAAUACCGAUGGCGAAGGCAGCCAUCUGGCCUAAUACUGACGCUGAGGUACGAAAGCAUGGGGAGCAAACAGGAUUAGAUACCCUGGUAGUCCCAUGCCGUAAACGAUGUCUACUAGUCCGUUGGGGCCUUUGAGGCUUUAGUGGCGCAGCUAACGCGAUAAGUAGACCGCCUGGGGAGUACGUCG